Molecule: long non-coding RNA, 1631 nt
Organism: Morone saxatilis (striped sea-bass)
Lineage: Eukaryota; Metazoa; Chordata; Actinopteri; Moronidae
Exons: 2
Source: RefSeq, a predicted model, not a curated record
CAGAGUCUCACUCUGAGGUUUAUUUUGGGAAAGACGACUGCUGAGGAUCGGUGUGUGUACUGUGUGUCAGGCAUUUCAAAUCCACAUGAUCAAAACCUGGGCGAACCGGUGUUUCUGCUAAAUCUGCUUCAGUCACACGGGAAAGAUUGCGCUACUGUACAGGAUUGGGAUUUGGUGAUGUUGUAAGAUUAAAAAUGCGUCAUAAUGUGGAAUACAUGCGUCACAAUCAGGAGCUUUUGUACAGGAGUAGGUGAGGCAAAACCAGUGCAUUAUGGAGACAACCGUCGACGCAGAAAGGACAGAAAAAUGAAAAAGUCAAUCUAAGUGGAUGAUGUGUCUGUUUGCGCUGCUAUAUUGCACGAUGAGGGCUGAGUGACCGUCGGCCUCGGCUGAAACUCAGCAGAGGCCAGUCGCCGCACUGACGUCUCUCCUCUGCGUGAUGUAUUUUGAUGAGAAUACACUGGCUGUGGAGUGCAGGGCAGCGCUACAAUGGCCCAACAUUAGAGCUAAAUCCAGUUUGACAGGCGGAGGUCUCAGCUGCAGAUUAGCCUGACGGACUGUCUGUCUGGAUCAGAGUGAGUUCGGUUGGGCCACUGUAGCUCCACAAAGGGCUGAACAGGGAUGCAUGCUGGGACACAAAUUGAAGAGGCAGAGCUGGAGAGCUGGGUGUUUAGGAUUUGCCCACUCUCUUACUUUGGGCUUACUGCCGUGCUGUGUUUGCAGAUAUAUUCCACUUCACUGACCGGUCCUUCACUGACCGGUUGGGUGAAUGUUUGCCCUUCUCCCACCCAAGCAUGGCCCAAUUUGCUCACUGAAGUCUGGACCACCUGACUGGUAGCAGCAUGAGCAAGACGCUAACUGUCCAAAAUGACUCCAUCACACAGUUUUUCCUCCAGGACAAUGGAGAUACAUAACGUGUUGUUUCCAGGGUGUUUUUUACACAAUGCUCCAACAACAACAACAAAAGGUUGUUGACUUGUUUCGGAUGCAAUAAAACCACUAACGAUGCUGUCAACAGAGUGCACAACCCACUGAGCUACACAGAGCCACAUUGUGUCACACAGGACUUCUCCACAGAGAUGUCCAAGUGAGUCACAUGAAGAUCAGCAAUUUCAUGUGUAUACUGUCACAGCUGUGAAACAUGAUGGAAACUUUUCAAAUCAGAGGGUUUAUCUAUAUCCACACACAAGUUCUACAAACAUAUUUCUUACAAUCACAUGAUGGGCCGCUUCUGUGGAAGUACUGAGAGGCCGACUCUCACUAAAUGAAAACAUCAUUUGUCUUUUUGGUGUAUUUGAUGGUCAAACUCCCUUAUAAAGCAUUAAUAACUGAGUAAGGUAUUUUCUGUUUCCUGUCCCAACCAAAAUAAUGGAAAGUAAUCAUUUCCUCAUCUCUGAAGUCAUUUUAAGUCACACUGAUACUGCGGUUGUGUUUUGUGGUGGUUUCUGUACUGUGUGUGUGUGUAGGUGUGAAAUGCAGAGAGGAGGGGUGUUGUUACAGACAGGGCAUGGCUGUCAGCCUGAGUUAAUUACAGCACACUGGCCUCUCACUGUACAAUGUUCAGAAAUGUUUUUACUGCUGUGUUAGGCUAUAAUAAACCCACACAAUACAUACAACGUGGACAAAUAUAA